RNAcentral lists this ribosomal RNA (440 nucleotides) under uncultured bacterium. RNAcentral describes it as "partial 16S ribosomal RNA". It matches the Rfam family "Bacterial small subunit ribosomal RNA", at positions 338 to 795 of the family's 1533-position model. The record is from RNAcentral.
CCUACGGGAGGCAGCAGUGGGGAAUAUUGGACAAUGGGGGAAACCCUGAUCCAGCGACGCCGCGUGAGUGAAGAAGUAUUUCGGUACGUAAAGCUCUAUCAGCAGGAAAGAAAAUGACGGUACCUGACUAAGAAGCCCCGGCUAACUACGUGCCAGCAGCCGCGGUAAUACGUAGGGGGCAAGCGUUAUCCGGAUUUACUGGGUGGAAAGGGAGCGUAGACGGCAGCGCAAGUCUGGAGUGAAAUGCCGGGGCCCAACCCCGGAACUUCUCGGGAAACUGUGAAGCUGGAGUGCAGGAGAGGGAAGCGGAAUUCCUGGUGUAGCGGUGAAAUGCGUAGAUAUCAGGAGGAACACCGGCGGCGAAGGCGGCUUACUGGACUGUAACUGACGUUGAGGCUCGAAGGCGUGGGGAGCAAACAGGAUUAGAUACCCGUGUAGUC